This 243-nucleotide unclassified non-coding RNA is filed under the name uncultured fungus. RNAcentral's name for it is "partial contains 5.8S ribosomal RNA, internal transcribed spacer 2, and large subunit ribosomal RNA". The stretch from base 1 to 52 matches the Rfam family "5.8S ribosomal RNA", at positions 103 to 154 of the family's 154-position model. The record is from RNAcentral. Lineage: Eukaryota; Fungi. RNAcentral also lists the same sequence under 1 other name.
AACGCACAUUGCGCCCGCCAGUAUUCUGGCGGGCAUGCCUGUUCGAGCGUCAUUUCAACCAUCAAGCGCCUCGCUUGUGUUGGGGCCCUGCGGCUGCCGCAGGCCCUCAAAUCCAGUGGCGGGCUCGUCGUCGUACCGAGUGCAGUAAACAUCCUCGCUCAGGGAACCCGACGGGUGCCGGCCGUGAAACCCCCCCUCCUUAAGGUUGACCUCGGAUCAGGUAGGAAUACCCGCUGAACUUAA